RNAcentral lists this ribosomal RNA (602 nucleotides) under Nocardiaceae bacterium. Its description in RNAcentral is "bacterial SSU rRNA". It matches the Rfam family "Bacterial small subunit ribosomal RNA", at positions 273 to 886 of the family's 1533-position model. Lineage: Bacteria; Bacillati; Actinomycetota; Actinomycetes; Mycobacteriales; Nocardiaceae. The record is from RNAcentral.
GCGACGACGGGUAGCCGACCUGAGAGGGUGACCGGCCACACUGGGACUGAGACACGGCCCAGACUCCUACGGGAGGCAGCAGUGGGGAAUAUUGCACAAUGGGCGAAAGCCUGAUGCAGCGACGCCGCGUGAGGGAUGACGGCCUUCGGGUUGUAAACCUCUUUCAGCAGGGACGAAGCGCAAGUGACGGUACCUGCAGAAGAAGCACCGGCUAACUACGUGCCAGCAGCCGCGGUAAUACGUAGGGUGCAAGCGUUGUCCGGAAUUACUGGGCGUAAAGAGUUCGUAGGCGGUUUGUCGCGUCGUUUGUGAAAACCAGCAGCUCAACUGCUGGCUUGCAGGCGAUACGGGCAGACUUGAGUACUGCAGGGGAGACUGGAAUUCCUGGUGUAGCGGUGAAAUGCGCAGAUAUCAGGAGGAACACCGGUGGCGAAGGCGGGUCUCUGGGCAGUAACUGACGCUGAGGAACGAAAGCGUGGGUAGCGAACAGGAUUAGAUACCCUGGUAGUCCACGCCGUAAACGGUGGGCGCUAGGUGUGGGUUCCUUCCACGGAAUCCGUGCCGUAGCUAACGCAUUAAGCGCCCCGCCGGGGAAGUACGGA